RNAcentral lists this ribosomal RNA (246 nucleotides) under uncultured bacterium. RNAcentral's name for it is "partial 16S ribosomal RNA". It matches the Rfam family "Bacterial small subunit ribosomal RNA", at positions 1255 to 1500 of the family's 1533-position model. The record is from RNAcentral.
CAGUGAUGUGGAGUAAAACUUAUAAAAGCGACCUCAGUUCGGGAUUGAAGGCUGAAAUUCGCCUUCAUGAAGUCGGAAUUGCUAGUAAUGGCAGGUCAGCAUACUGCCGUGAAUACGUUCCCGGGCCUUGUACACACCGCCCGUCACACCAUGAGAGUUGGAGAUACCCGAAGCCUAUGAGCUAACUUUUAGAGGCAGUAGUCGAAGGUAGAAUCAAUGAUUGGGGUGAAGUCGUAACAAGGUAUC